RNAcentral lists this ribosomal RNA (259 nucleotides) under uncultured bacterium. RNAcentral describes it as "partial 16S ribosomal RNA". It matches the Rfam family "Bacterial small subunit ribosomal RNA", at positions 793 to 1055 of the family's 1533-position model. The record is from RNAcentral.
GUCCUAGCCGUAAACGUUGGGUGCUAGGUGUGGGGGACAUCGACCCCCUCCGUGCCGAAGCUAACGCAUUAAGCACCCCGCCUGGGGAGUACGGCCGCAAGGCUAAAACUCAAAGGAAUUGACGGGCCCCGCACAAGCGGCGGAGCAUGUUGCUUAAUUCGAUGCGACGCGAAGAACCUUACCUGGGCUUGACAUGCAGGGUGAAACCCGUGAAAGCGGGCGCUCUUCGGAGCCUGCACAGGUGGUGCAUGGCUGUCGU